CUAACCCAAAAUUUCUUAUUACAUAUAAAAUUGUGUAGGGUUUCUUAAUUCUCUCUCAUUCCUCUUCUUUCCUAAACCAUUAGACACCUGAGAAAUACUGCCUCCGUGCUUCAAUCUCCGCCUUCUCAUCCUUCUGCUCUGGAUUAUCAAUGUUGUACCUGCUCGUCCUUUAUUUUUGGUCUCAUAAGAUUUCAAGAUGUGAUGGAAUUUUGGGGAUUUUGAAGUGAAGACAAGCAUGUGGUGCUUGAAGUGUGAUUUUGCAGUUUGGCAUUGAGGAUGAUAUAUUGAUUCCCGGCAAGGCCAGAGAAUACUUUGAUGAUAUAUUGAUGCCCGGCAAGGCCGGAGGAUACUUUGAUGAUAUAUUGAUGUACUGCAAGACUGGAGGAUACUACGAUGAUAUAUUGAUUCCCGACAAGGCCGGAGAAACUAUGAUGAUAUAUUAAUACCUGACAAGGCCAAAGAUUGAUCAAGAUAAUUAUGGUCAUGAUGACACUCAUGAUGAGAUUGUUUAUAUUGAUUGUGUACCUUUCAUCCAUUCUUGUAUGCACAUUGCCUAUCAUGAGUAUGCACUAAUGUCUAUCAACCGGUAUGGGACGGAUGCAUAGAUAUGAGCGAAGAAUAUGCCUUUUUUUGUUAUAUAUUGAUUGAACCUUUUGAGUCUGGGGCGAUGGGGGUACACAUAGGCUCAGUUAGGUAUUUGAUUUCCCGAAGUAGUUGGUUAUUUAUGUUGAUAUUGAUGUUAUUAUUAUUGUUAUGAUCAUUAUUAUGGUUAGCUUA
This is a long non-coding RNA of Capsicum annuum, 777 nucleotides long. RefSeq lists it as uncharacterized. Lineage: Eukaryota; Viridiplantae; Streptophyta; Magnoliopsida; Solanales; Solanaceae. The record is from RefSeq and is a predicted model, not a curated record. The transcript is spliced from 3 exons.